GAGACACCCUUCUGGGGCAAGACUUGCUUCAGUGGGGCUUUGGUGCUCACUGAGUCUUCCCCCUGAAUGUGUCCCU
Non-coding RNA from Myotis lucifugus (little brown bat), 76 nucleotides. Lineage: Eukaryota; Metazoa; Chordata; Mammalia; Chiroptera; Vespertilionidae. The record is from Rfam.